This 1318-nucleotide ribosomal RNA is filed under the name Vibrio alginolyticus. RNAcentral describes it as "bacterial SSU rRNA". It matches the Rfam family "Bacterial small subunit ribosomal RNA", at positions 63 to 1366 of the family's 1533-position model. Lineage: Bacteria; Pseudomonadati; Pseudomonadota; Gammaproteobacteria; Vibrionales; Vibrionaceae. The record is from RNAcentral.
GAAACGAGUUAUCUGAACCUUCGGGGAACGAUAACGGCGUCGAGCGGCGGACGGGUGAGUAAUGCCUAGGAAAUUGCCCUGAUGUGGGGGAUAACCAUUGGAAACGAUGGCUAAUACCGCAUGAUGCCUACGGGCCAAAGAGGGGGACCUUCGGGCCUCUCGCGUCAGGAUAUGCCUAGGUGGGAUUAGCUAGUUGGUGAGGUAAGGGCUCACCAAGGCGACGAUCCCUAGCUGGUCUGAGAGGAUGAUCAGCCACACUGGAACUGAGACACGGUCCAGACUCCUACGGGAGGCAGCAGUGGGGAAUAUUGCACAAUGGGCGCAAGCCUGAUGCAGCCAUGCCGCGUGUGUGAAGAAGGCCUUCGGGUUGUAAAGCACUUUCAGUCGUGAGGAAGGUGGUGUAGUUAAUAGCUGCAUCAUUUGACGUUAGCGACAGAAGAAGCACCGGCUAACUCCGUGCCAGCAGCCGCGGUAAUACGGAGGGUGCGAGCGUUAAUCGGAAUUACUGGGCGUAAAGCGCAUGCAGGUGGUUUGUUAAGUCAGAUGUGAAAGCCCGGGGCUCAACCUCGGAAUAGCAUUUGAAACUGGCAGACUAGAGUACUGUAGAGGGGGGUAGAAUUUCAGGUGUAGCGGUGAAAUGCGUAGAGAUCUGAAGGAAUACCGGUGGCGAAGGCGGCCCCCUGGACAGAUACUGACACUCAGAUGCGAAAGCGUGGGGAGCAAACAGGAUUAGAUACCCUGGUAGUCCACGCCGUAAACGAUGUCUACUUGGAGGUUGUGGCCUUGAGCCGUGGCUUUCGGAGCUAACGCGUUAAGUAGACCGCCUGGGGAGUACGGUCGCAAGAUUAAAACUCAAAUGAAUUGACGGGGGCCCGCACAAGCGGUGGAGCAUGUGGUUUAAUUCGAUGCAACGCGAAGAACCUUACCUACUCUUGACAUCCAGAGAACUUUCCAGAGAUGGAUUGGUGCCUUCGGGAACUCUGAGACAGGUGCUGCAUGGCUGUCGUCAGCUCGUGUUGUGAAAUGUUGGGUUAAGUCCCGCAACGAGCGCAACCCUUAUCCUUGUUUGCCAGCGAGUAAUGUCGGGAACUCCAGGGAGACUGCCGGUGAUAAACCGGAGGAAGGUGGGGACGACGUCAAGUCAUCAUGGCCCUUACGAGUAGGGCUACACACGUGCUACAAUGGCGCAUACAGAGGGCGGCCAACUUGCGAAAGUGAGCGAAUCCCAAAAAGUGCGUCGUAGUCCGGAUUGGAGUCUGCAACUCGACUCCAUGAAGUCGGAAUCGCUAGUAAUCGUGGAUCAGAAUGCCACGGUGAA